Molecule: ribosomal RNA, 528 nt
Filed under: uncultured bacterium
Lineage: Bacteria
Description: bacterial SSU rRNA
Rfam family: Bacterial small subunit ribosomal RNA
Source: RNAcentral
UUGACCUCCAGCGAACUUGGCAGAGAUGCCUUGGUGCCUUCGGGAACGCUGAGACAGGUGCUGCAUGGCUGUCGUCAGCUCGUGUUGUGAAAUGUUGGGUUAAGUCCCGCAACGAGCGCAACCCUUAUCCUUUGUUGCCAGCGAUUCGGUCGGGAACUCAAAGGAGACUGCCGGUGAUAAACCGGAGGAAGGUGGGGAUGACGUCAAGUCAUCAUGGCCCUUACGAGUAGGGCUACACACGUGCUACAAUGGCGCAUACAAAGAGAAGCGACCUCGCGAGAGCAAGCGGACCUCAUAAAGUGCGUCGUAGUCCGGAUCGGAGUCUGCAACUCGACUCCGUGAAGUCGGAAUCGCUAGUAAUCGUGGAUCAGAAUGCCACGGUGAAUACGUUCCCGGGCCUUGUACACACCGCCCGUCACACCAUGGGAGUGGGUUGCAAAAGAAGUAGGUAGCUUAACCUUCGGGAGGGCGCUUACCACUUUGUGAUUCAUGACUGGGGUGAAGUCGUAACAAGGUAGGCGUAGCGAG